GAUGAACGCUGGCGGCGUGCCUAAUACAUGCAAGUCGAGCGAACAGACGAGGAGCUUGCUCCUCUGACGUUAGCGGCGGACGGGUGAGUAACACGUGGAUAACCUACCUAUAAGACUGGGAUAACUUCGGGAAACCGGAGCUAAUACCGGAUAACAUGUUGAACCGCAUGGUUCAACAGUGAAAGACGGUCUUGCUGUCACUUAUAGAUGGAUCCGCGCCGCAUUAGCUAGUUGGUAAGGUAACGGCUUACCAAGGCAACGAUGCGUAGCCGACCUGAGAGGGGGAUCGGCCACACUGGAACUGAGACACGGUCCAGACUCCUACGGGAGGCAGCAGUAGGGAAUCUUCCGCAAUGGGCGAAAGCCUGACGGAGCAACGCCGCGUGAGUGAAGAAGGUCUUCGGAUCGUAAAACUCUGUUAUUAGGGAAGAACAAAUGUGUAAGUAACUAUGCACGUCUGGACGGUACCUAAUCAGAAAGCCACGGCUAACUACGU
RNAcentral lists this ribosomal RNA (496 nucleotides) under uncultured bacterium. RNAcentral's name for it is "partial 16S ribosomal RNA". It matches the Rfam family "Bacterial small subunit ribosomal RNA", at positions 28 to 506 of the family's 1533-position model. The record is from RNAcentral.